Molecule: ribosomal RNA, 2094 nt
Filed under: Triticum aestivum (bread wheat)
Lineage: Eukaryota; Viridiplantae; Streptophyta; Magnoliopsida; Poales; Poaceae
Description: partial small subunit ribosomal RNA
Source: RNAcentral
AUGACGUCCGGGUCCUGGUGCGCGCCGUGGGGCCGGGGCGGCGGGGUCCAGUCUCGCGGCGAAAGCGGCGGCGGCCGGUUCAGCGUCUUCACGGCGAUCCUCCCGUCGCUGGGCGCGCAGCACAGCCACAGCUUCAGACGGACCAGUGUCCGGCGCUGGGUCGUGUCCCCCUACGACCCUCGCUACCGGCUGUGGGACAGCUACCUCGUCUGCCUCGUGCUCUACUCCGCGUGGGUGUCCCCUUUCGAGUUCGGCUUCCUCCAGAACCCCCACGGCGCGCUGGCCAUCGCCGACAACACCGUCAACGUCUUCUUCGCCAUGGACAUCGUCCUCACCUUCUUCGUCGCCUACACCGACAAGAGGACCUACCUGCUCGUUGACGAGCCCGCCAAGAUCGCCUGGCGCUACGCCAGCACCUGGCUCGUCCUGGACGUCGCCUCCACCGUGCCCACCGAGCUCUCCCGCCGGAUCCUCCCUCCCGACCUCCGAACCUACGGCGUCUUCGGCAUGCUCCGCCUCUGGCGACUCCGGCGCGUCGGUGCCCUCCUGUCCCGCAUGGAGAAGGACCGCAAGUUCAGCUACUUCUGGGUCCGGUGCUCCAAGCUCGUGGCCGUAACGCUCUUCGCCGUGCAUUGCUCUGGGUGCUUCUACUAUCUCCUCGCCGACCGGUACCCGAACCCGGCCGAGACCUGGAUCAGCAUCUCCAUGCCGCACUUCCACACCGAGAGCCUUUGGAACCGCUACGUGGCGUCCAUGUACUGGUCCAUCACCACCCUCACAACUGUGGGCUACGGCGACAUGCACGCCGUCAACUCGAGGGAGAUGCUCUUCACCACCUUCUACAUGCUCUUCAAUCUCGGCCUCACCGCCUACCUCAUCGGCAACAUGACCAACCUCGUCGUCCACGGCACCAGCCGCACCAGGAAAUACAGGGACAAGAUCCAGGCGGCAACGAGCUUCGCGCAGCGGCACGAGCUGCCGAAGCGGCUGCAGGAUCAGAUGAUCUCUCACCUCAGCCUGAAAUUCAGGACGCACUCAGAGGGGCUCCAGCAGCAGGAGACGCUGGACGCGCUGCCCAAAGCAUUAAGGUCCAGCAUCUCGCACCACCUCUUCUUCGGGCUGGUCCAGAACGUCUACCUCUUCCAGGGGGUCUCCAAUGACCUCAUCUUCCAGCUGGUGUCUGAGAUGAGCGCCGGGUACUUUGCGCCGCGGGAAGACGUGAUACUGCAGAACGAAGCGCCCUCGGAUUUCUACAUCAUUGUCACUGGUAGUGUGGAGUUGCUGGAAAUCCAGAAUGGUGCAGAGCAGCUGGCCAGCAUGACCAAGUCCGGCGAAGUCAUCGGCGAGAUCGGGGUCCUGUGCUACAGGCCUCAGCUCUUCACGGCCCGGACAAAGUCCCUGUGCCAGCUCCUGCGCCUGGACCGCGCCAACUUUCUCAAGGUCGUCCAGUCUAAUGUUGGGGAUGCCACCAUAAUCAUGAACAACCUCAUCCAGUACCUCAAGGAACACAAGGGUGACGGCGGGAUCUCUCGCAUCGCCAAGGACAUCGAGCGCAUGCUUGCCACAGGCCAGCUUGAUCUGCCAAUCACGCUCUGCUUCGCGGCGUCCAGAGGAGAUGACUUUCUGAUGCACCAGCUGCUGAAGCGCGGCCUGGACCCCAAUGAGACCGAUAACUGCGGCCGUACAGCACUGUCAUUCAUGGCAAAGAGCCACAGCCGUGCGUCAGGUUCUGAGGUUGCCCACAUGUGCUCGACCAUCUCGGCUUCUGAAAAAAAACGCCCCCUUGGAUCAUCAUUCCACGCCCAGAAAUCGUCCACAAGCCGUGUACAGAGCGGUAUUUGCAAGAUCGCCUCCACAUCAAUGGGUAUGAACACCUGUCUAAGCAAGUCCUCUCGCCACGCAGCUCUAGUGUGGUCGAUCAGAUCAGAAACCAGUUGCGGUGGGUCAGCAACUAAGGAGGCUACCGGCUUCAUCAUUCCGUCCCUUGGGAUCCAACUAUGUUGCCAUAUGUUCGUGGUAGUUCCAUCACCAAUACGCCGGAUAGCUCCUUGGGUGAUAAUAUCUCUCCCAUCAAGUAUAGAUCGCCACACCUGA